Molecule: long non-coding RNA, 2772 nt
Organism: Pyrus x bretschneideri (Chinese white pear)
Lineage: Eukaryota; Viridiplantae; Streptophyta; Magnoliopsida; Rosales; Rosaceae
Exons: 3
Source: RefSeq, a predicted model, not a curated record
UCUCUUUAAUAAGUAGAAGUUGGAUUCUAUAUAAACCCAUGAAACCAUUGGUAUUAAAUAUAGAAAGUUAGAGUUAAUUUUUACUCUUGAGAAAUAGGGUUUCCCCACUUUGUUUCUCUCAUGCUUUGUGAGUCAAAUUUCGAGUCGUGUUUUGAGAGUACGGAAUAUAAAAAUUUCGCCAGAGUCCGAAGAUUGAAGUGCUUUGACUUUGGAUUAUAGAUUGUUGAAUCCUUGGAGAUGGACUCCUACCGAAUUACAAGCACAAAAGUAUGGUGCGAAAUUCUAUCUUUAGGACAUUGCAUUUAUGCAAGUCUCAAUCUUCAAGUUUGUCAGUUAUUCUAACUUUCUCUCUAGUUGUUUAUAUUAAUCUCAUAUAUAUAUAUUUGAUGUUGUGAAUUUCUUUAUGAUUAUUAUCAUUGGAAUUAUAUUGUUAUUUUUCAUAUUUUCUAAUAUUGCUCCAACAGCUUUAACAUCAAUUUAACCGAUUAAUUACGCUAGACUUAAUUAAACAAACAGGGAUAGAUUGAAUUAAAUAAUUGAGUAAUUGAUUAAGACUAAAAUUAACAAAAAGAGAAAAGACAAUUAAUUAAAAUGAACACACGACACAAGAAGAAAUUGAGAAACAAUGGAAGCCCAAGGUUAUAAAUCCACCGACAACAAUCAUAUUUACUUUUCCUAGAGCCAACUACUAUCUAAUUACCAUGCCAAUGUUAAAUGUUGUUCUUUCUAAGGUAUGAAUUAAUCCGUGGUCAGACAUUAACUCUUGUAUCUCUACAUGAUAAUUAUAUCCUAUUGGUUAGGCAUACAAUUAAACACAUAAAAACUCAUUAAGUAUAGAAGAAUCAUGUCAACCAAGUAUGACUAGCUUGAUAUUGGUCAUCCUCGCUAGUUUGUCUACUCUUCUUAAUCUUAGUUCCAAUAAACCUAAUUGAUUGGUCAUCCUCAUAGAUUUAUCUAACUCUCUAGAUGCAAAAUUCCUAAAGGUGAUCAGUUGAAUUAUCACCAAAAACGUUCUAAGUGCGCAAAUUGGCUGAAACUGAGAAAAGGAAAGUAACAAGGGUCUUUUAUAAUCAAUUCCUUAACAAAACUUGGGGAUAAUUAAUAAUUAAUAUGAUAAAUAAUGCACCUACCAUCCCACAUUGGUGGGGAUAAAGAAAAUCAAUGAGUUUAAAUAAGAUUACCCCACUCUAACUAAUAUCGAGACAUUUUGUGGUAAAAACUCACAUCUGACGGAUUGGGCAGGUGGUAAAGUUGAGGACAAUAUCGGUGUCGUUACCUUUGAGUCUUAAUUGCCGAUGUAUGGAUCUCCACGUGUGAACCAUUGAAUGGGGUUACACUUGAGGAGAAGUGUUAAAGUCCCACAUCAGUGGGGAUAAAAAAAAAACCAAUGGGUUUAAAUAAGAUUAACCCCCUCUAACUAAUAUCAAGGACUUUUGUGGUAAAACCUCAUACCUGACUGAUUGGGCAAUAUCGGUGUCGUUAGAGUGGGGAAACCUCACACCUGAUGGAUUGUGUAAAGUUCGUUAGAGUGGAGAAACCUCACACCUGACUGAUUGGGCAGGUGGUAAAAUUGGGGACAUUAUCGGUGUCGUUAGAGUGUGACCGCCCCCCAGGCCAGUUGAUCUUCAACAUUUUACACCAAGAAACACGUUUCAAACCACCUACAAAAUUUAAGGUACGAGACUAAGCAAGGACAGUACGUGUUUGAAGUACCGGCUGUGGCAAAUAGCAUUGAAGUUACAGCUAUCGUCUUGUCAAAUCAUUUACAAAAAUGCUUUGAAAGAAUCAUAUUUUGAGAGUUGAAAAUGGAAAGACGCAAGGUUGUUGCUAUGCCCAACGCACACAAAGUUUGCAAAAGAAGAUUAUGGAAUAUUUCAAUGUAGAUGACAAUUCUGAACUCCCUAAUACGAUGGGUAAAUCCAGGAGUUUCUGCAGAGCCAUUCACAGGCCAAAUUCACCACAGAGCUGUUGCAAGAAUAUAAUUCAUGGGAUUGCAAGUCCAUCCUAUCCUUGUGGUUUGACCCCAUUUGAAGUGUUCCAAGUCACUCGCCUGGCAAUGCACUUUUAUAUGGUAUCAAGUUCUUCACUACGAACAAAUUUGAGCUGACAUGCUAAAUCAGCAUUACAGGGGAAGAUACACAAAUAUGGACUUCCUGGUGGUAAUGGACACGGCAAAGGCGGUUGUGGGGAACAGUGCAGCCAAAGCUGCUUAGAAUCAGGCAAUCAGGCAUGGCUGUUUUGUUUAGCAAAAUACUCUCUCACCAAUUAAGUUCUCACUGCAAUCAAAACGAAGGAUGUUGUCUUUCUGUUUAUUCAUACAGUCAGGGAUCGGAUAAUCAAAGUACGGAAGAAAAAGAGAGAAGGAUAUACCCACGUUACACCAAAAAAUUUGCGUUUUAGUAGGCAAAACAAAUUAUGUGAUGUGAGCUCCGGGGGUUGGAUGUGUGUGUAGAAGGUGUUUGUAGUCAGCCGAUGACUUUCAUGUGGAAAAACGUAAACUGUGCAGGCGAGAUGGAAGUUGCUCCUCUUAUGGGAUUAUGAUGCGACAGAUAUUAUGAUGUGCACACCAACAGGAUGCGGAAAUCUCUUCCCUUUGUGGUUUGUUUUGUUUUGGGUUGCUAUAUAUUGGGAGGAGGUUAGAUAGCUGCUUGAAAACUUUUGCAACUUGAAUACUCUCUUAGCAGAAUACUCAGGAUCUCAAUUAGAGAUUAUGUCCCUCAAAGUAUCAGUAUUUGAUAAAAUAAAAAAUAAAAAGGUAUCAGUAUUAACAUA